UACGUAGGGGGCAAGCGUUGUCCGGAUUUAUUGGGCGUAAAGAGCGUGUAGGCGGCCAGGCAGGUCCGUUGUGAAAACUGGAGGCUCAACCUCCAGACGUCGAUGGAAACCGUUUGGCUAGAGUCCGGAAGAGGAGAGUGGAAUUCCUGGUGUAGCGGUGAAAUGCGCAGAUAUCAGGAAGAACACCCGUGGCGAAGGCGGCUCUCUGGGACGGUACUGACGCUGAGACGCGAAAGCGUGGGGAGCGAACAGG
This 253-nucleotide ribosomal RNA is filed under the name uncultured bacterium. RNAcentral describes it as "partial 16S ribosomal RNA". It matches the Rfam family "Bacterial small subunit ribosomal RNA", at positions 524 to 776 of the family's 1533-position model. The record is from RNAcentral.